This 164-nucleotide ribosomal RNA is filed under the name Pieris japonica (Japanese andromeda). RNAcentral's name for it is "5.8S ribosomal RNA". It matches the Rfam family "5.8S ribosomal RNA". From Rfam's summary of the family: 5.8S ribosomal RNA (5.8S rRNA) is a component of the large subunit of the eukaryotic ribosome. It is transcribed by RNA polymerase I as part of the 45S precursor that also contains 18S and 28S rRNA. Functionally, it is thought that 5.8S rRNA may be involved in ribosome translocation. Lineage: Eukaryota; Viridiplantae; Streptophyta; Magnoliopsida; Ericales; Ericaceae. The record is from RNAcentral.
AACGACUCUCGGCAACGGAUAUCUCGGCUCUUGCAUCGAUGAAGAACGUAGCGAAAUGCGAUACUUGGUGUGAAUUGCAGAAUCCCGUGAACCAUCGAGUCUUUGAACGCAAGUUGCGCCUGAAGCCAUUAGGCUGAAGGCACGUCUGCCUGGGCGUCACGCAU